GACGAACGAGGGAGGAGGGAGGAACACAGGCAAGUCGUACGGUAAGGCCCUUUCGGGGGUACACGAGUGGCGAACGGGUGAGUAACACGUGAGUAACCUGCCCACAACUUUGGGAUAACGCUAGGAAACUGGUGCUAAUCCUGGAUAUGUGCUCCUGCUGCAUGGUGGGGGUUGGAAAGCUCCGGCGGUUGUGGAUGGACUCGCGGCCUCUCAGCUUGUUGGUGGGGUAGUGGCCUACCAAGGCGGCGACGGGUAGCCGGCCUGAGAGGGUGACCGGCCACAUUGGGACUGAGAUACGGCCCAGACUCCUACGGGAGGCAGCAGUGGGGAAUAUUGCACAAUGGGCGCAAGCCUGAUGCAGCAACGCCGCGUGCGGGAUGACGGCCUUCGGGUUGUAAACCGCUUUCAGCAGGGACGAAGCUUUUUGUGACGGUACCUGCAGAAGAAGCACCGGCUAACUACGUG
RNAcentral lists this ribosomal RNA (465 nucleotides) under uncultured bacterium. RNAcentral's name for it is "partial 16S ribosomal RNA". It matches the Rfam family "Bacterial small subunit ribosomal RNA", at positions 28 to 507 of the family's 1533-position model. The record is from RNAcentral.